CGUCGAACGUAAGAUGACUGUAGGUGAAAGACUUACAUCUCUUCGGAGCAUUUACGAGGUGCUGCAUGGUUGUCGUCAGCUCGUGCCGUGAGGUGUCGGGUUAAGUCCCAUAACGAGCGCAACCCCUAUCAUUAGUUGCCAUCAGGUCAAGCUGGGGACUCUAAUGAAACUGCCUACGCAAGUAGUGAGGAAGGUGGGGAUGACGUCAAAUCAGCACGGCCCUUACGUCCAGGGCUACACACGUGCUACAAUGGCCGGUACAAAGGGCAGCUACCUGGUGACAGGAUGCUAAUCUCAAAAGCCGGUCUCAGUUCGGAUCGGAGUCUGCAACCCGACUCCGUGAAGCUGGAAUCGCUAGUAAUCGUGAAUCAGAAUGUCACGGUGAAUACGUUCCCGGGCCUU
This 402-nucleotide ribosomal RNA is filed under the name uncultured Sphingobacteriales bacterium. RNAcentral describes it as "partial 16S ribosomal RNA". It matches the Rfam family "Bacterial small subunit ribosomal RNA", at positions 980 to 1382 of the family's 1533-position model. Lineage: Bacteria; Pseudomonadati; Bacteroidota; Sphingobacteriia; Sphingobacteriales. The record is from RNAcentral.